CAGUAGCCGCGGGAAUACAGAGGGUGCGAGCGUUAAUCGGAUUUACUGGGCGUAAAGCGUGCGUAGGCGGCUUCUUAAGUCGGAUGUGAAAUCCCUGAGCUUAACUUAGGAAUUGCAUUCGAUACUGGGAAGCUAGAGUAUGGGAGAGGAUGGUAGAAUUCCAGGUGUAGCGGUGAAAUGCCUAGAGAUCUGGAGGAAUACCGAUGGCGAAGGCAGCCAUCUGGCCUAAUACUGACGCUGAGGUACGAAAGCAUGGGGAGCAAACAGGAUUAGAUACCCGAGUAGUCCCUGUCUCUUAUAC
RNAcentral lists this ribosomal RNA (301 nucleotides) under uncultured bacterium. RNAcentral's name for it is "partial 16S ribosomal RNA". It matches the Rfam family "Bacterial small subunit ribosomal RNA", at positions 509 to 807 of the family's 1533-position model. The record is from RNAcentral.